RNAcentral lists this ribosomal RNA (390 nucleotides) under uncultured bacterium. Its description in RNAcentral is "bacterial SSU rRNA". It matches the Rfam family "Bacterial small subunit ribosomal RNA", at positions 32 to 415 of the family's 1533-position model. The record is from RNAcentral.
AAUCAACGCUGGCGGCGUGCCUCAGACAUGCAAGUCGAACGAUUAAAGCUCUCUUCGGAGAGUGCAUAAAGUGGCGCACGGGUGAGUAACACGUAAGUAAUCUACCUUCGAGUGGGGAAGUAACGUCCGGAAACGGACGCUAAUACCGCAUAAUGCAGCGGCAUCGCAAGAUGACAGUUGUUAAAGAUUUAUCGCUUGAAGAGGAGCUUGCGGCAGAUUAGCUAGUUGGUAAGGUAAUGGCUUACCAAGGCUACGAUCUGUAACCGGUCUAAGAGGACGGUCGGUCACACUGACACUGAAUAACGGGUCAGACUCCUACGGAGGCAGCAGGUCGGGAAUUUUGGCAAUGGGCGAAAGCCUGACCAGCAACGCCGCGUGAAGGAUGAAGUA